Molecule: ribosomal RNA, 488 nt
Filed under: uncultured bacterium
Lineage: Bacteria
Description: partial 16S ribosomal RNA
Rfam family: Bacterial small subunit ribosomal RNA
Source: RNAcentral
GACGAACGCUGGCGGCGUGCUUAACACAUGCAAGUCGAACGGAAAGGCCCGGCGUUUGUGGGGUUCUCGAUUGGCGAACGGGUGAGUAACACGUGAGUAACCUGCCCUUGACUUUGGGAUAACUUCAGGAAACUGGGGCUAAUACCGGAUAGGAUCUCCUGCUGCAUGGUGGGGGUUGGAAAGUUUCGGCGGUUGGGGAUGGACUCGCGGGUUAUCAGCUUGUUGGUGGGGUAGUGGCUUACCAAGGCUUUGACGGGUAGCCGGCGUGAGUGGGUGGUCGGCCGCCCGGGAAGGGGGACAGGGUCCAGAGGCCUAGGGGAGGCACCAGUAGGGAAUCGGGCGCAAUGGGCGGAAGACUGACGAAACAGGGCCGAGGGAGUGAGGAAGGUCGCCGGAUCGGGAAACUCGGUUAUGGGGGAAGAACAUAUUUGUAAGUGACUGUGCACAUCUUGACGGUACCUAGUCAGAAAGCCACGGCUAACUACGUG